Molecule: ribosomal RNA, 391 nt
Filed under: Rhizosolenia sp.
Lineage: Eukaryota; Bacillariophyta; Coscinodiscophyceae; Rhizosoleniales; Rhizosoleniaceae
Description: partial small subunit ribosomal RNA
Rfam family: Eukaryotic small subunit ribosomal RNA
Source: RNAcentral
AUUCCAGCUCCAAUAGCGUAUAUUAAAGUUGUUGCAGUUAAAAAGCUCGUAGUUGGAUUUCUGGCGGGAGCGAUCGGUCCUUCACUCAGUGUUGGAACCUGAUUGUCUCCUGCCAUCCAUGGAGAAAACUUAUCUGGCAUUAAGUUGUCGGGUAGGCAAUCUCCAUCUUUUACUGUGAAAAAAUUAGAGUGUUCAAAGCAGGCUUAUGCCGUUGAAUAUAUUAGCAUGGAAUAAUAAGAUAGGACUAUGGUACUAUUUUGUUGGUUUGUGCACCAUGGUAAUGAUUAAUAGGGACAGUUGGGGGCAUUCGUAUUUAACUGUCAGAGGUGAAAUUCCUGGAUUUGUUAAAGACGGACUACUGCGAAAGCAUUUGCCAAGGAUGUUUUCAUUG